CAGAAGAGAUAAGGUGUUGCCCCAUAGGAAUAGUUACAUCUCAACUCCAGUGAGGCUCCUUCAGAGACAGUGAUGUGGAUGUCAGGCUGGGUCACUGACUGGGCUCUGGCAGUUUCAGGACAAAAUGUAUCCCCAGCAGUGGGAUAAGCUCCAGGAGCAUGGCUGAACAAGGGAAACACUGCAGGCUCUUUUCUGCAAGAUCUCCAGAGAACAGGAAGGAAAGUGUCUGAAGAGACCAAGACCAAGAGGUGUGAGGAAGUUUCGCUGGAGAAACUCCUUGCUUAUUUAAAACUACAAAAGCUGCUGAGAUGAAUCUGGUUGCUUUUUAAACCUCUAAUUCUUGUCAC
RNAcentral lists this long non-coding RNA (347 nucleotides) under Homo sapiens (human). Its description in RNAcentral is "non-protein coding lnc-OR4E1-5:2". The record is from RNAcentral. Lineage: Eukaryota; Metazoa; Chordata; Mammalia; Primates; Hominidae.